This 164-nucleotide small RNA is filed under the name Arabidopsis thaliana (thale cress). RNAcentral describes it as "ATSL229990". The record is from RNAcentral. Lineage: Eukaryota; Viridiplantae; Streptophyta; Magnoliopsida; Brassicales; Brassicaceae.
UAAUGUCUGAUAAUUGAGCACAUACUGAUAUUGAUAGUUCCAAAAACACUAAUUUCCGAAUCCAAAAUCAAAAAAGAAAGACAACAGAAUUGUAGAUAAUAUUUGAUCAGGCAGUGAUCUCCUUCUUGAGUUUUGCAAGCUCUUGCCUGACAACACCAGCUUUC